GUGCCAGCAGCCGCGGUAAUACCGGCAGCCCGAGUGUUGGCCGAUCUUAUUGGGCCUAAAGCGUCCGUAGCUGGCCGCGCAAGUCCAUCGGGAAAUCCACCCGCCCAACGAGUGGGCGUCCGACGGAAACUGCACAGCUUGGGACCGGAAGGCUCGAAGGGUACGUCCGGGGUAGGAGUGAAAUCCCGUAAUCCCGCACGGACCACCGAUGGCGAAAGCACUUCGAGAAGACGGAUCCGACAGUGAGGGACGAAAGCCAGGGUCUCCAACCGGAUUAGAAACCCCUGUAGUCC
RNAcentral lists this ribosomal RNA (293 nucleotides) under uncultured bacterium. Its description in RNAcentral is "partial 16S ribosomal RNA". It matches the Rfam family "Archaeal small subunit ribosomal RNA", at positions 455 to 747 of the family's 1478-position model. The record is from RNAcentral.